Molecule: non-coding RNA, 75 nt
Organism: Podarcis lilfordi (Lilford's wall lizard)
Lineage: Eukaryota; Metazoa; Chordata; Lepidosauria; Squamata; Lacertidae
Source: the annotation of a GenBank genome assembly
GCAUAGCUCAGUUGGUUAGAGUGCGGUGCUAAGAAUGCCAAGGUCACAUGUUUGAUCCCCGUAUGGAUAACUGCA